Molecule: transfer RNA, 69 nt
Filed under: Oreomystis bairdi (Kauai creeper)
Lineage: Eukaryota; Metazoa; Chordata; Aves; Passeriformes; Fringillidae
Also listed under: 1 other name
Description: tRNA-Lys
Source: RNAcentral
CAUUAAGAAGCUAUGAACCAGCAUUAGCCUUUUAAGCUAAAGAAAGAGGACUACACUCCUCCUUAAUGA